GGUCAGGCUGAAGACCUUACCCGAUUAGCUGAGAGGUGGUGCAUGGCCGUCGUCAGUUCGUACUGUGAAGCAUCCUGUUAAGUCAGGCAACGAGCGAGACCCACGUCCACAGUUGCCAGCAUACCCUCCGGGGUGAUGGGUACACUGUGGAGACCGCCGCUGCUAAAGCGGAGGAAGGAGUGGGCAACGGUAGGUCAGUAUGCCCCGAAUCUCCCGGGCUACACGCGGGCUACAAUGGUUGGUACAAUGGGCAUCUACCCCGAAAGGGGAAGGAAAUCUCUUAAAGCCAAUCGUAGUUCGGAUUGAGGGCUGCAACUCGCCCUCAUGAAGCUGGAAUCCGUAGUAAUCGCGUUUCAACAGAGCGCGGUGAAUACGUCCCUGCUCCUU
Molecule: ribosomal RNA, 387 nt
Filed under: uncultured Methanosaeta sp.
Lineage: Archaea; Methanobacteriati; Methanobacteriota; Methanomicrobia; Methanotrichales; Methanotrichaceae
Description: bacterial SSU rRNA
Rfam family: Archaeal small subunit ribosomal RNA
Source: RNAcentral